This 370-nucleotide ribosomal RNA is filed under the name uncultured bacterium. RNAcentral's name for it is "bacterial SSU rRNA". It matches the Rfam family "Bacterial small subunit ribosomal RNA", at positions 30 to 396 of the family's 1533-position model. The record is from RNAcentral.
AUUGAACGCUGGCGGCAUGCCUUACACAUGCAAGUCGAACGGCAGCGCGGGGCAACCUGGCGGCGAGUGGCGAAACGGGUGAGUAAUAUAUCGGAACAUACCCUAGAGUGGGGGAUAACGUAGCGAAAGUUACGCUAAUACCGCAUACGCACUAAGGUGGAAAGUGGGGGGAGUCUUCGGACCUCAUGCUCAUGGAGUGGCCCGAUAUCUGAUUAGCUAGUUGGUGAGGUAAAGGCUCACCAAGGCGACGAUCAGUAGCUGGUUUGAGAGAACGACCAGCCACACUGGAACUGAGACACGGUCCAGACUCCUACGGGAGGCAGCAGUGGGGAAGUUUUGGACAGUAGGGGGCAACCCUGAUCCAGCAAUG